UACGUAGGGGGCAAGCGUUGUCCGGAGUUACUGGGCGUAAAGCGCACGCAGGCGGUCGAUUAAGUUUGGAGUGACAGUCGGUGGCUUAACUGCCAAAGUGCUUUGAAAACUGAUCGACUUGAGGGCUUCAGAGGGACACGGAAUUCCGGGUGGAGUGGUGAAAUGCGUAGAUAUCCGGAGGAAUACCAAAGGCGAAGGCAGUGUCCUGGAGGGUGACUGACGCUGAGGCGCGAAAGCUAGGGGAGCGAACAGG
This 253-nucleotide ribosomal RNA is filed under the name uncultured bacterium. RNAcentral's name for it is "partial 16S ribosomal RNA". It matches the Rfam family "Bacterial small subunit ribosomal RNA", at positions 524 to 776 of the family's 1533-position model. The record is from RNAcentral.